This 450-nucleotide ribosomal RNA is filed under the name uncultured bacterium. RNAcentral's name for it is "partial 16S ribosomal RNA". It matches the Rfam family "Bacterial small subunit ribosomal RNA", at positions 354 to 796 of the family's 1533-position model. The record is from RNAcentral.
GUGGGGAAUCUUCCACAAUGGACGAAAGUCUGAUGGAGCAACGCCGCGUGAGUGAAGAAGGGUUUCGGCUCGUAAAGCUCUGUUGUCGGGGACGAAUGUGCAGUAUUUGAAUAAAGUACUGCAAUGACGGUACCUGACGAGGAAGCCACGGCUAACUACGUGCCAGCAGCCGCGGUAAUACGUAGGUGGCAAGCGUUGUCCGGAAUUAUUGGGCGUAAAGGGAGCGCAGGCGGGAAGGUAAGUCGGUCUUAAAAGUGCGGGGCUCAACCCCGUGAUGGGAUCGAAACUAUCUUUCUUGAGUGCAGGAGAGGAAAGUGGAAUUCCUAGUGUAGCGGUGAAAUGCGUAGAUAUUAGGAGGAACACCAGUGGCGAAGGCGACUUUCUGGACGAAAACUGACGCUGAGGCGCGAAAGCCAGGGGAGCGAACGGGAUUAGAUACCCGAGUAGUCC